Pteropus alecto (black flying fox) is the source of this 858-nucleotide long non-coding RNA. RefSeq lists it as uncharacterized. NCBI's taxonomy places the organism in Eukaryota, Metazoa, Chordata, Mammalia, Chiroptera, Pteropodidae. The record is from RefSeq and is a predicted model, not a curated record. The transcript has 2 exons.
GCCCCGUGUCCUUGCGGUAAAGGCGUGGCCCGUGCGGCUGUGUGCCGUUCGCUGGGCGGGCUCGGAGAAAGGAGCAAAGCCCUCCGAACCCUCCGAAACAGCACGCCACCCAGCGCCCUCCAGCGGACGAGAGGGGCCAGCAAGACGCAGGGGGCCAGACGGACCAGCGCGGGGGGAGCUGGGUCCCUGCCGGCCUGCUCUCCUUUCCGUCCGUCCGGCGACGGCGACGGCGACGGCUCCCUUCCACUCUGGCUCUCCCUGCAGCCUCUCCCACUUCUGUCCCCUCCUGCUCUGCCCUCUGAUCUCGUCUCCUCUUUAAGCCCCUCUCCCUCGGUGACUCUGGCUUCCCAGACCCCUCCUGGCCUCCCAGUCGUGGGCACAGAACGAAGCCCUGCAGAGGGCCUGGGCAUGGGCUCUUGGCCCUGGCACCAUGCCGGGCGGCCUUCCUGCCCCAGACACCACAGCUAUUUUCAAACGGGCCUGAGACCCGGUCGCUUGCGAAAGGUCGUCACGGGAGGAUCUGGGGCUGAAGCAGAGGGCAGCACGAAGGACAGAGCCAGACUGAGGGGCGGCCUUCGCGGUCUGAACCGGGAGGAGCACCAUCGUCCUAGAGAAGGAGGACACCCCUUUCAGAGUGGCCUGGUGGGGAGGCGGCAGCUGGUACUUAAGGACAUUAUAAUGAGGUGAUGAAGAGUCCAGACUCUCCGGGGGUCGACUCCUGGUUCUCCUUGCUAGGUGAGUAAAGUCCAAGGUCACGCCGAUAAUCAUAGUACUUAACCCUCAUGGGAGUUGCUGGGAGGAAUAAAGGACUCGACAGGUCGUUGGAACAUUAGUUCAUUGCCUGGCGAUAAUCGGUUA